CCUACGGGGGGCAGCAGUGAGGAAUAUUGGUCAAUGGGCGUAAGCCUGAACCAGCCAUCCCGCGUGCAGGAAGAAGGCGCUAUGCGUCGUAAACUGCUUUUCCAGGGGAAGAAAACCCGCUACGUGUAGUGGCUUGCCGGUACCCUGGGAAUAAGCAUCGGCUAACUCCGUGCCAGCAGCCGCGGUAAUACGGAGGAUGCGAGCGUUAUCCGGAUUUAGUGGGUGUAAAGGGUUUGAUAAGGCAGUGGUAAAAUCCUUCAGCUUAACUGGAGACUUGCCAUUGAUACUGUUAGUCUUGAGUACGGUCAAGGUAGGCGGAAUGUGUAAUGUAGCGGUGAAAUGCUUAGAUAUUACACAGAACACCGAUUGCGAAGGCAGCUUACUGGGCCAUUACUGACGCUGAUGCACGAAAGCGUGGGGAGCGAACAGGAUUAGAUACCCUUGUAGUC
Molecule: ribosomal RNA, 449 nt
Filed under: uncultured bacterium
Lineage: Bacteria
Description: partial 16S ribosomal RNA
Rfam family: Bacterial small subunit ribosomal RNA
Source: RNAcentral